ACAGGUAGUCAAGAUGAGAAUUCUAAGGUGAGCGAGCGAACUCUCGUUAAGGAACUCGGCAAAAUGACCCCGUAACUUCGGGAGAAGGGGUGCUCUUUAGGGUUAACGCCCAGAAGAGCCGCAGUGAAUAGGCCCAAGCGACUGUUUAUCAAAAACACAGGUCUCUGCUAAACCGUAAGGUGAUGUAUAGGGGCUGACGCCUGCCCGGUGCUGGAAGGUUAAGAGGAGUGGUUAGCUUCUGCGAAGCUACGAAUCGAAGCCCCAGUAAACGGCGGCCGUAACUAUAACGGUCCUAAGGUAGCGAAAUUCCUUGUCGGGUAAGUUCCGACCCGCACGAAAGGCGUAACGAUUUGGGCACUGUCUCAACGAGAGACUCGGUGAAAUCAUAGUACCUGUGAAGAUGCAGGUUACCCGCGACAGGACGGAAAGACCCCGUGGAGCUUUACUGUAGCCUGAUAUUGAAAUUCGGCACAGCUUGUACAGGAUAGGUAGGAGCCUUUGAAACGUGAGCGCUAGCUUACGUGGAGGCGCUGGUGGGAUACUACCCUAGCUGUGUUGGCUUUCUAACCCGCACCACUUAUCGUGGUGGGAGACAGUGUCAGGCGGGCAGUUUGACUGGGGCGGUCGCCUCCUAAAAGGUAACGGAGGCGCUCAAAGGUUCCCUCAGAAUGGUUGGAAAUCAUUCAUAGAGUGUAAAGGCAUAAGGGAGCUUGACUGCGAGACCUACAAGUCGAGCAGGGUCGAAAGACGGACUUAGUGAUCCGGUGGUUCCGCAUGGAAGGGCCAUCGCUCAACGGAUAAAAGCUACCCCGGGGAUAACAGGCUUAUCUCCCCCAAGAGUUCACAUCGACGGGGAGGUUUGGCACCUCGAUGUCGGCUCAUCGCAUCCUGGGGCUGUAGUCGGUCCCAAGGGUUGGGCUGUUCGCCCAUUAAAGCGGUACGCGAGCUGGGUUCAGAACGUCGUGAGACAGUUCGGUCCCUAUCCGUCGUGGGCGUAGGAAAUUUGAGAGGAGCUGUCCUUAGUACGAGAGGACCGGGAUGGACAUACCUCUGGUGUACCAGUUGUCGUGCCAACGGCAUAGCUGGGUAGCUAUGUGUGGACGGGAUAAGUGCUGAAAGCAUCUAAGCAUGAAGCCCCCCUCAAGAUGAGAUUUCCCAACUUCGGUUAUAAGAUCCCUCAAA
RNAcentral lists this ribosomal RNA (1182 nucleotides) under Staphylococcus aureus. RNAcentral describes it as "partial 23S ribosomal RNA". It matches the Rfam family "Bacterial large subunit ribosomal RNA", at positions 1659 to 2842 of the family's 2925-position model. Lineage: Bacteria; Bacillati; Bacillota; Bacilli; Caryophanales; Staphylococcaceae. The record is from RNAcentral.